This 80-nucleotide long non-coding RNA is filed under the name Neodiprion pinetum (white pine sawfly). RNAcentral describes it as "uncharacterized LOC124210649". Lineage: Eukaryota; Metazoa; Arthropoda; Insecta; Hymenoptera; Diprionidae. The record is from RNAcentral.
AAACAGAGGUAGAUACGAAAUAAUUCAUCGUCAAAGCGGGAUUAAAGUUGUCAGGCAUUGAAGCAUCGGUUCCAAGUUUA